Molecule: ribosomal RNA, 454 nt
Filed under: uncultured Methanosaeta sp.
Lineage: Archaea; Methanobacteriati; Methanobacteriota; Methanomicrobia; Methanotrichales; Methanotrichaceae
Description: bacterial SSU rRNA
Rfam family: Archaeal small subunit ribosomal RNA
Source: RNAcentral
CGGGUGGAGCCUGCGGUUUAAUUGGAUUCAACGCCGGAAAUCUCACCGGGGCGACAGCAAUAUGAAGGUCAGGCUGAAGACCUUACCCGAUUUAGCUGAGAGGUGGUGCAUGGCCGUCGUCAGUUCGUACUGUGAAGCAUCCUGUUAAGUCAGGCAACGAGCGAGACCCACGUCCACAGUUGCCAGCAUACCCUCCGGGGUGAUGGGUACACUGUGGAGACCGCCGCUGCUAAAGCGGAGGAAGGAGUGGGCAACGGUAGGUCAGUAUGCCCCGAAUCUCCCGGGCUACACGCGGGCUACAAUGGUUGGUACAAUGGGCAUCUACCCCGAAAGGGGAAGGAAAUCUCUUAAAGCCAAUCGUAGUUCGGAUUGAGGGCUGCAACUCGCCCUCAUGAAGCUGGAAUCCGUAGUAAUCGCGUUUCAACAGAACGCGGUGAAUACGUCCCUGCUCCUU